UGAGGUAGAGGUCGCGAACGUUAUUAGUAUCAUUUUCGAGAUGAGAAAGCAUUACUGACAAAAUGAGAAAGGAACGUUUGCCGAAGUAUUUCAAAUGCUUUUAUCAUUUGAAUGCUGGGGCUGUCGCUUAAUAGGUGCAGAACUGUCACGUAACAACGUGUUGAGCUAUCU
RNAcentral lists this non-coding RNA (171 nucleotides) under Candidatus Kurthia intestinigallinarum. RNAcentral's name for it is "Lysine riboswitch". It matches the Rfam family "Lysine riboswitch aptamer". From Rfam's summary of the family: Riboswitches are metabolite binding domains within certain messenger RNAs that serve as precision sensors for their corresponding targets. Allosteric rearrangement of mRNA structure is mediated by ligand binding, and this results in modulation of gene expression. The record is from RNAcentral. Lineage: Bacteria; Bacillati; Bacillota; Bacilli; Caryophanales; Caryophanaceae. RNAcentral also lists the same sequence under 1 other name.